UCUAACUUCGUGGGGUGUCAGACAAUACU
Molecule: non-coding RNA, 29 nt
Filed under: Rattus norvegicus (Norway rat)
Lineage: Eukaryota; Metazoa; Chordata; Mammalia; Rodentia; Muridae
Source: RNAcentral